Molecule: Y RNA, 93 nt
Filed under: Carlito syrichta (Philippine tarsier)
Lineage: Eukaryota; Metazoa; Chordata; Mammalia; Primates; Tarsiidae
Description: Y RNA (ENSTSYG00000033753.1)
Rfam family: Y RNA
About the family: Y RNAs are components of the Ro ribonucleoprotein particle (Ro RNP), in association with Ro60 and La proteins. The Y RNAs and Ro60 and La proteins are well conserved, but the function of the Ro RNP is not known.
Source: Rfam by way of RNAcentral
GGCUGGUCCGAUGGUAGUGGGUUAUCAGAACUUAUUAACAUUAGUGCCCCUAAAGUUGGUACAUAACCCUCCACUGCUACAUUUGGCUAAAAA